RNAcentral lists this long non-coding RNA (7156 nucleotides) under Citrus sinensis (sweet orange). Its description in RNAcentral is "long non-coding RNA (CSIN_LNC002125)". The record is from RNAcentral. Lineage: Eukaryota; Viridiplantae; Streptophyta; Magnoliopsida; Sapindales; Rutaceae.
GAAACGAACAUCUAUCCAUAAUUGACAACUCCCGUGUCCAUAAAAUUACUAAAAUGCCCUUGAGUCCGUAAAUCAUUAACACAUACUCUGAAAUCGUACAACACCGAAUUACCCUCGGAUUCAUAAUUACACCCACUCCUCAAUUCUUGGAAUUACUAAAAUAUCCACAGGCUCAGAAAUUACAAAAUUGCCCUCAUAGUGUGAAAUUACCAAAAUGCCCUUGCCGAUCAACGGUCACCGAAAUUUGGUCAACGCUGGCUAGGAAGGUCAAAUUUGAAAGUUCCAAUCACGCUGAGUUCAAUGGUACCGGCGGUGAGCUCCAACGUGCGGCAACGGCGCCGGAAUCGAGCUCGGCAGCCGUGAAUUCCAACAAUUGACCGGCGGCAAAACAGUGACUCUCGGUGCCUAUGGAUGGUCGGAAAUGGAAGAGCGAGUCAUGAGGAACAAAAUCCAACCGGUGGUGUCACCCAAAACUGUCGAAAAUCCCGGCGGAGUAAAGUGAAACAGUCGCGGGUUCCAAGCUUCGAUCGCUGGCGUUCCGGUUGGUUUUCGGCGGUGAGGAUGGCAGGGGAACAACGAUCGGCUUCUAAGCUUCAGAUUGGUACCAAGCUUGGCCGAAACGGUGGCCGAAAAUGGGAGAUAUGGUCGGAUCAAGGUCGCGGGUUUUGGGUUGGGUUUUCGGGUCUGUAGUUGGGUCGGUUUGGCAGCUUCCCUUCACUCUCUCUCACACGUGCAUGUUUUUACCCUGUUUCCAGGUUAUUCUUUUACUUAUAAACUCCUUAACCGCCUUAUUUUCAUUUUGAAAUUCACAUAUGUUACAAUCCUCCCCCCUUAUAAAAAUUUUGUCCUCGAAAUUUACGUACCUGAUAAGAAAAGAUAGGAAUACUGAGCUUGCAUUAAGUCCUCGCGUUCCCAGGUAGCUUCUUCCUUUGUAUGAUUCCUCCACCGCACUUUUACUAGAGGAAUGGUCUUAGAACGCAGAACUUGGUGUUUCUCUUCCAAUAUCUCCACUGGUUCCUCUUCGUAAGUCAGAUCUGCCUUCAACUGAAUUGGUUGCUUCGAUAUCACAUGACUCGGGUCAUAUAUGUACUUCCGAAGCAUUGAGACGUGAAACACAUCGUGGAUUCUAGAUAACUUAGGUGGUAGAGCUAAUCGAUAAGCUAACGGACCGAUGCACUCAAUGAUCUCAUAUGGCCCAAUGUAACGUGGACUUAACUUCCCACGUUUCCCAAAUCGAAGCACCCAUUUCUAAGGAGAUAUCCGUAUAAAAACUCUAUCACCAACUUCGAAUUCAAGUUCCCGCAUACGCUUGUCUGCAUAGCUCUUAUGUCUAUCUUGGGCCACCUUUAAUCUAUCCUGAAUCAAUUGUAUCUUCUAGUUCGUAUCCUGAACUAGUUCUGGACCGAAUAACCUCCGCUCACCAACUUCAUCCCAACAUACUGGAGUCCUGCAUUUUCUACCAUACAAAGCCUCAUAUGGUGCCAUCUCGAUACUAGCUUGAUAACUGUUGUUGUAAGCAAACUCCAUCAGAGGUAAAUAAUUAUCCCAAUUACCUUUAAACUCUAUAACACAAGCUCACAACAUAUCCUCCAGAGUUUGAAUAGUACGCUCUGACUGUCCAUCAGUCUGUGGAUGAAAAGUUGUACUGAAGUUCAACUUGGUGCCUAAAGCAUUUUGCAAGCUAGUCCAGAACUUAGAAGUAAACCAGGAAUCUCUAUCUGAGACUAUGGACACAGGUACUCCGUGAAGUCAAACUAUUUCAGCCGCAUAAAUACUCCCUAACUUGUCCAUCGAGUAAGUGGUCUUGAAAGGUAAGAAAUGAGCAGAUUUUGUAAGUCGAUCAACAGCCACCCAAACACCAUCAUGUCCUUUCUGAGUACGUGGAAGUCCUGCUACAAAAUCCAUGGUGAUAUGCUCCCACUUCCACUCAGGAAUAUGAAGCGGCUGAGAACACCGUGUAGGCCUCUGGUGUUCAGCUUUAAUAUGCUGACAGACUAAACAUCGAGAAAUAAAUUCUACUCUCUCUCUUCAUGCCCUGCCACCAGUAAUGAUCCCUUAGGGUGCGAUACAUCUUUGUACUACCAGGAUGCAUCGCAUAUGCUGAAUAGUGAGCUUCUUCCAUAAUCUCUUCUUUCAGAUCUUUCAUACCGGGUACACAGAGUCCAUUACCCAUGACUAAGACACCAUCAUCUCUCACCAUAAAAUCGGUUCAUAAACUUUUCUGCACAUCAUCUUUCAACUUUAUUAAUUGUGGGUCAAUCAAAGUCGGCAUAACUCAAAAAUUAGCUAUCAAAGCUCCACGAUUGUCAGCAUUCAACUCGACUCCCAAAGAUCUCAAAUCGAUCAAUAGAGGCACAUAUUUCACUCGCAAGUGAGCUAUAGAGCUAGAAGACUUUCUACUUAGUGCAUCAGCUACCACAUUUGCUUUGCCCGGAUGACAAUCGAUAGUGCAAUCGUAGUCCUUAAUCAGCUCGAUCCAUCUCCUCUGUCUCAAAUUCAACUCUUUCUGAGUAAACAAAUACUUCAAGCUCUUAUGAUCAGUGAAAAUCUGACACGUUGCCCCAUAUAAAUAAUGUCGCCAUAUCUUGAGUGCAAACACCAUUGCUGCUAGCUCUAAGUUAUGUGUUGGGUAGUUUUGUUCAUGCUUCUUAAGUUUUCUAGAAGCAUAAGCCACCACUUUUCCAUGCUGCAUCAAUACACAACCCAAUCCCUGCCUAAAAGCAUCGCUGUAAACCAAAAAUCCUUCAUUACCAGAUGGAAGUGUAAGAACUGGUGCUGAGGUCAAACGUGUCUUAAGUUCUUGAAAACUCUUCUCAUAGUCAUCAUCCCACUGGAACUUAGCAUUCUUUCUGGUUAACCAUGUCAGAGGAGUAGCAAUCUUGGAGAAUCCUUCCAUAAAUCUAUGAUAAUAACCAGCCAAUCCAAGAAAACUCCGAACCUCUGUGACAUUUGUAGGCCGUUCCCAUUUCACAACUGCUUCAAUCUUUUGAGGAUCAACAUAAAUGCCUUCAGCUGAUAUCACAUGGCCCAAAAAUACUACUCUGUCCAACCAGAACUCGUAUUUGCUGAACUUGGCAUACAAUUGCUUAUGUCUCAAAGUCUGUAAAAUAGUCCGCAAAUGCUCUGCAUGCACCUCCUCGCUUCAGGAAUACACCAAGAUAUCAUCAAUGAAUACAAUCACAAACCGAUCCAAGUACGAGCGAAAUACCCUAUUCAUCAGGUCCAUAAAAGCAGCUGGGGCAUUUUUGUCAACCCAAAUGGCAUCACUAAGAACUCAUAGCGCCCAUAACGGGUUCUAAAUGCUGUUUUAGGAACGUCGACAUCUUUAAUUCUAAGCUGAUGGUAACCCGAGCGCAAAUCGAUCUUAGAAAAUACUUUUGCCGCUUGGAGUUGAUCAAACAAGUCAUCAAUACACGGAAGUGGAUACUUAUUGUGUACCGUAACUUUAUUCAACUGCCUGUAAUCGAUGCAGAGUCUAAAAGUCCUAUCUUUUUUCUUAACAAACAAGACUGGAGCUCCCCACGGGGACACACUAGGUCUAAUAAACCCUUUCUCCACCAACUCUUGCAAUUGAACCUUCAGUUCCUUCAAUUCUGCUGGAGCCAUUCUGUACGGUGCCAUAGAUAUUAGAGAUGUUCCAGGGACUAAGUCAAUAGAAAACUCAACUUCUCUAUUAGGUGGCAUCCCAGGAAGUUCAUUUGGAAAUACAUCUGGAAAUUCUUUAACUACUGUAAUAUCCUCCAAUCUCAAUUCUCGAGCUUCUGUAUCUAUCACACGAGCUAAAUAAGCUGAGUAUCCUUUUCUUAGCAACCUUCAUGCACUAAUAGUAGAUAUAACACAUGAAGGUAGAACUUUGCGCUCCCCACAGAAUUUCACCUCAGCUUUCCCUGGCUUUUUAAAUACAAUGUCCUUUUUGAAACAAUCCACCGUAGCAUAAUGAGAUUCAAGCCAAUCCAUGCCCAAAAUAGCAUCAAAGUCAUGAAUAUCUAAGGAAAUCAAAUUCGCCUCAAAUUCAUGUUCACCUAUUCCAAUCAUACAAUCUCGAUACACAGUCUGAGUAAGUAAUGACUCUCCGGUAGGUGUACGAACAACUAAAUCGCAAUCUAACAGUUCGGGCUCUCGCCUAUGUGCAUAGCAAAAGUACAAGAAACAAAAGAGUGUGUGGAUCCAGGAUCAAUAAGAAUAUGAGCCUCGCGACCAAGGAUAGAUAAUAUACCCAUAAUAACUUCUGGUGCAGCACGUGCCUCUUGCUGCAUCAAAGCAAAAACUCAAGCCUGAGUAUGAGGUCGACUAGGCUGACCUCUUUGACCUGGAGCAGUCGUCUGACUCCUAAAGGUAGAUGUAGAACCUCCUGUCUGCACUCUUUUCUGACCCUGAGUCUGGCCAGAGUAAGGCCGAUACCGUGAGGCUGUCCCUCCUGUAGAGCUAUCACCCUUAGAUAAAGUAGGGCAGAAUCUCCUGAUGUGUCCAAGCUGACCACACAAAUAACAAACUCUGUCUCCAACGCGACAUUGGCCCUGAUGAUUCCUGCCACAUGAAGGGCAAGAAGUCUGCUGGAAACUCCUAGAACGAUCAUCACGAUAUCCCCCACCACUGCGGUCGUACUGUCUCUGAUUCCUGGUAUUACUCCCCACCGAUGGUUGUACAGAGCUGUGACUGACAGCCUGUCUCGAGUCUCCCCUGAAGCCUGUACUCUGACUCCUUUGCGUACUAUCAAAAUAACUCGUAGGAAUACCCCCUCUCUUGGACGGCCUACUACUAAAGUCACUCACUGCCCAGCUCUGGCUAUGCUUCUGCUUCAGUGCAUGAAAUCUACGUCCUUCUAAAAUACUGUGCUCUACUCUCCUGGCUGCCUCAACCACCUCUCCAAACUCAGUAUAUCGUUAUGCAGUCACGGUGGUGCGAAUCUCAAAUCAGAGGCCAUCCUCGAACCGUCUACAUCUCUCUCUCUCACCACCGACUACAGAUGUAGCAAAUCUAAAGAGGUCUAAAAAUUUCUUCUCAUACUCCUCAACUGUUAGAGAUCCCUGAACCAACCGAAAGAAUUCACUCUGUUUAAUAUCCUGAUAUACAGCAGGAAAAUAAUGAUCGUAGAAUUCUUUGCGGAAAAUGGCCCAUGUAAUCGCAGCAUGCCCCUGAUAUCGUCUCUCCACAGUCUGCCACCAAUGGUAAGCUCUAUCCUCGAGCAGGAAAGUGGCGAAGGAUAAUCUAUCAUCCUCUGAACACUUCAUCACAUCAAAAAUACGCUCUAACUUAACAAACCAUGACUCAGCCUCAGGUGGUUCUCCGAAACCAUUAAAGCUCCUCGCCCCUAAACUCCUCACUCGCUCAAUAGUGUUUGCGUUACCGACAUGCGCUUGAGUCUGAUUUUGCACAACUGUAGUCAUGAUUUGAGCCAGCCUAUCAAAUCACUGCUCAAUAUUCGGGGCAUUCCCCGGUGUCUGUUGUGCAAUUUCAUGCGUGGAGGAUUCAACUAUCCCCUCAUUCGCGGGUUCACUUUCCCCCGCAGGAGCACUACCAAAAGUCAACCCAGCUAUUGGCCUAGUACGGCCACGGCCACGUCUACUGCUACGACAAAGCAUGAUGGUGCCUACAAGAGAUAAAUUCUAACUUUAAUAAAGAUAAAACUUAUUCUUAUAAAGACAGUAAAGUCUACAGAAUCUAAAACCAUGCUCUGAUACCAACUGAAACGACCCGCCCCGAAUCCCCCCAAGCGAGUCUAUCUAGUCUCAUCAAAACGGACUUGAUAAUAAUUCUAUUCGUAAAGAUUCUGCCGAAAAUUCGGCAGAGUCUCCUUUAUAUAUAUAAUACUCCCAAUCUACAAAUAUGAAUAUAACACUCCUAAUACAAUUCAAUAUACAACAAACUCCAGUGCUCAACAUCCUCAACCAAAAUGCUGAGUUUUAUAUCUCUAGAGUCUCAAAAGAUAAUAUUAUAACUAAUAUUAAUAUCUCAAUUUAUUCUUAAUCCCAAAACGAAUAAUAUAACAAAAGUAUACAAUCCCAAAAGAACAAGAUGACCAAGAUGUCCUAAGAAAAACAUCUAUAUCGUCUAACACCAUCACGUGGCCAAGACUCAAAAUAUAUUUACAGUCGCUGAGUCGGUCUGGUGUACCUGCAACCUCCGGGUGAGGGGGGGAAAUAUAAUAAAAACGGGAUGAGUCUAAAACUCAGUGAGAUCAGUGAGUGGAUAGUAGUUUUGAAAAUUAAUUCUUACUAUAAAAGAAAUAAUCAUAUCAUUUCCAAACACGAUUGCGUUAAACCAUAAGCGAGAAACCAGAAAUAAAUCAUUAAACAUUUAAAUCAGAUUACUAACCAUGGAAAUCAUAUCACAAUAUCAUAUAGAAUUCACAAAUCUGAAAAUCAUCACCAAACAAGUACACAGGGAAAUAAUCUCGUCAUAUCCGGACCUACACGGACAGGCAAUGACGUACUAUCUGGGUAACGUCACGCCUCGGAGCUACACGGAUAGAUAGGGAAAUACCAUCUCAUAUCUCAUCAUAUAUGUGCAUGCUUUAUUCAAAGUCGAUACACAAAAUCAAUAACCAAACAUUUUAAUAAAAUACCAAUGCGUAAAUAAAAAUCCAUUUCGAGGAAAUCAUUAAAUCAGAACAUUUAAAAUAAUUAUUUCACAAACAUGCAUUACUAUCAUAAUUAACUAUGAAAAUAGGUUUUGUAUAUUCCACUCACAGUGACGGUGUUCACGGUCGGUUAUCAUCCAUGUCCGCAGACCGGUUCUCGCUCGCGGAUCCUCCUAAAUUAGGGAAACGACAUAAUUAUUUUCCGUAAAUCGGAAUUACGACUAAAGUUAUGCAAUAAACUCGAAACGAACAUCUAUCCAUAAUUGACAACUCCCGUGUCCAUAAAAUUACUAAAAUGUCCUUGAGUCCAUAAAUCAUUAACACAUACUCUGAAAUCGUACAACACUGAAUUACCCUCGGAAUCGUAAUUACACCCACUCCUCAAUUCUCAGAAUUACUAAAAUAUCCACAGGCUCAUAAAUUAUAAAAUUGCCCUCAUAAUGUGAAAUUACCAAAAUGCCCUUGCCGGUCAACGGUCACCGAAAUUUGGUCAACGCUGGCUAGGAAGCUCAAAUCUGAAAGUUCCAAUCACGCUGAGUUCAAUAGUACCGGCGGUGAGCUCCAACGCGCGGCAAC